GAGCGCUCCGCCAGGCUACGGGUGAUUUCGCGGCGACCCAGCGGAGCUCCCCGUUCCCGCUCUGCGGCUGCGCGAGCGCUCCCGGCUGGAGGGCGCGCGCAUCGGCCCCGCGCCCGUGCUCCUCGUCGCUGAAGAAGAGGCGCCGCGCGUGCUCGCGGGGCGUUUGUGGAGCACGAGCGUCGGCAGCCCCGGGCCGAAGCUGGGUUUGUUGUGCCGUCGUUCACUGCCAGGCGCUGACGGACAAUCCCCUGGCCCCCCCGUUACGGUCCCUGCCGAGGUUGUACAGUCAAACGCGACAGAGUCAGAUCACGCUUCUUCAGCUUCGGGGCAACGUGCAGAAAACCCUGAAGUCGCUAGCAAGUUUCUGCUCUUGAUUUACCCUGUUACCUCCAAACGUGCGCCUGCUGUUGCCGCCUUGACAUACUCUGGUGUUUGAGGCGUUGGGAGAAGGAGCGUUCAGCUUCGUGGGUCAGUUUCUAUUCGAAAACAACUCACAGGAAGAGGAGAGCAGGAUUUCCCAGAGUUCUCUCUACCAAAGCUUCCUCGCAUCGAGAUGCUGACCGUGCAGCCCUCGGGGCAGUGGGGAGGAGCCUGGGCAUCACCCCACGCAGCUGGUACCUGUGGUCUUCAGCAGCCUCCCCCCUUCGCGCCACUGGGCCAUAAAAAUAAGAAUGGUAUCCUCUUCUGCCUAUGCCGUGGACAGGGAGUGGACAAGACCAAUGUAAAUGCACACAGGUGUUCGGAAAUGGCACGGCCAAAGGAAAUCCCCCUCGCGUUACAGUAGGUUUGGACACCGGAAAUGGCUAACUUGUCAAGAGGUGCGUGACUCAGUGCAGCCAUGCCCAUUUUAGCUC
This is a long non-coding RNA of Mirounga angustirostris (Northern elephant seal), 854 nucleotides long. RefSeq lists it as uncharacterized. NCBI's taxonomy places the organism in Eukaryota, Metazoa, Chordata, Mammalia, Carnivora, Phocidae. The record is from RefSeq and is a predicted model, not a curated record. The transcript has 3 exons.